AGAGCAAUGGGGACGGGCAGGGACAGAGCUGCGGGCUGAGGUUCCUCCGUUCGGCGAAGCCCCUUCUCUCUGCCCCCGCCUGCUCUGGGCUUUCUUGGCUAUGUCUGCUCCUGACAGGAGGGAUGUGUGUUGCCAGGGGUGGGGGCUUGGCGUGUGUGCGUGUGAGAAUAUGUGUGUGUGUUUAAAAUACAAAAAAAAAAAAAAAAGAAGCGUGCCUAUACUCAGCCGCGAGACGCUGGCCAGCCUCCAUCCGUGCCAACUCCCCUCCGAGCUGGCACUGGGGACUCCGGAGGCACGGGGAGGAGGAAGGUGCGGGCAGCUUGCGGUGAGGAUGGACGCGUGCCACCGACGUAUGCCAGCGGCUGCAGGGGGCCAAACGCCUAUCCACAAAACCCACCGCGAUCGCUGGCAGCCGUGGCGGGAGGCGGCAGCAGUUGGCAGAGGUGCCAGGGAGGGCCGGCUGGGGCAGGUGGAUCCUGGCAGCAGCAGCGCAGGUAAAGCGUGCGGGCUCGCGGGGUGUGGGCGCCUGGCAUCUGCGUCGGGUGCCAGAGGCCGGGGCCGGAUCUUGGCCUGGCUCUGGGUUGCAGGGCGUGGCAGCAUCAGGGAGGGCUGAAUCCCGCAGGGUUCUGGGCCAGCCUGGUAGAGGACGGCUCCUCUCGGCUUCCCCAGCGUCGCCCUGGGGCCUGUUUCCAGCUGUGCUUGGCCCUUCGUCCUCCAGGGAGCUCGGUUGGGUGGGCUCGGUGGGGCCAGCAUGGGGUCGGCCACAUCACCUCCGCCUGAUGCCCUGUGGGCCCCCAGGGCCAGGUCUCCUCUGCCCAGUUCCGUAUAGUCCCCCAGAUGGUCCCCAAAUGUUGGUCGCUGUCCCCAUGCGUGGGCUGCAGGGCUGUAUCUUGGGGCCCAGGGCUCCUAGGGGAGUGCGUCUGCCUUCCCUCUCGUCUUCCCGGAGCCCCCGCCCCACCUCUUGCUCCCAGCCUGGCUUGGUGCCUCAGAGCCUGUGCGGAACGAUGGGACAGACGCCAAACGUGUGGUAGCAGGAGUGCGGGUGACGGUGCAGCAAGCCCAGCUGCUGAGGGUGGGAAGGAGCCCGAGGUGAGGGACUCCCCAGCAGCUCCAAGGCAAAGUCCUGCUGCCCUUCCCAGCAAUUACAGGCUGGGCAGAAAGAGCUGGGGGCCGUGGGAGAGGGGAUUUUCACCUGCAGAAAGGUGGGUGACACCCAGGUGGGCCAGCGUGGAGCUGGCAGGGCUGGGGGUGUUAGUCCCGGCGUCUGGCUGUGGCCCCUCAGCGUGAUCCAUGGCGAGCAGGAUGGCAGAGGCUGCCAGCCACAGCAUCAGCUGGCAGAGGCUGGCACCAGACCCAUGCCCUGGCAGGAGCAUGGCACAGAGGGGCCCUGGCUGUGCCGGGGGCUCUGGGCUGGCCGCUGUCCCAGUCAAUGCUCUGGGCAGCCAAUCCAGUCCCAGAAAGAAGGUUGCACUGGAGGGGCGAUUAGAGCACAUGGGCAGGGGCUGGGGUAAAGAUGGCUGGGUGGCUGGGCCCCCAGCUCCUCCAAGCCCGGGAGGAGGUUAGGCCCAUGGACCUUAAAACUCCGAGCCUAGAGUCGGGCUGGCCCACAGGAGCCUCCACCUUGAAGGGGCUAGGAGGGGCCUCUGAGGCCAAGGUCAGGAGCCCGGGCUGGGCUGAGGGGCAGGGAGGGCUGGGGGGGCGGGGGAGGGCAGUGGUCAUCUGGUCCAGACGCCCAGGGGUCGGGCAGAGGUCGGGAACACAGGGUCCUGGGGUCGGACAGAGCCGGCAGGACUGAAGGCCCACGAGGGGUCUGGGCUGUGCUUCAGAGCUUCAGGGAAAGGCUCAGAGCCCCGCAGAGGCCCAGCCUGAGACAUCCCGGGGGCGGAGGUGCGGCGGGGCUCCCAGGGACUGGCCAUCCUCAGCCUCCUCUUCCCCUUAAGCCCCGGGAGGCGCUGCUGUGGCGGCUUCAGUCCGACUCUGGCCAACACUUCAUGACGGGGGCUUCCCCUUGGAAGUGCUGGCGGUGGGGUCAUCCCGGGUGGGCCUUGGCGCAGGUGAGCUUCCCCAGUGGCCGCCUGGACCCGGCCCUGCAGUCCCUGCCCUCAGAUGGCACAGGCGUGGAGGGCGGGCAGGGUGGGCCCCAGCAUGGGUGUCAGUGGGAUAAACACUCAGGCAGGGGGGCUCCGGGGAUUUGGGGACACAGCAGUGGCCCUGGCCCCUCAGGCUCAGGGGUGGGGGGCGGGGCACAACACAUUCCAGGAUUCCCAGAGGAGACUUAGAUGGGCGAGGUGCUGGCUGGAACCCUGGCUUGGGUCUGCACUGGGUGGGAUGGCAGCACCUGUGGGUCCCAGGCCUCAGUCGUGAGGAGAGUGGCAUGAGUGGAUGCCCCUCCCUCGAGGGCCCCAGGGGACCUGAAAAUGGCAUGGAGGGUGGGACAAGCUGGAAGCUGCGGCCCCCACGAUGGAGACUGGGGACCGGGCUUCUCCCGCUCUGCUGGGCAAGGUCCCCCCCCCAACCUCUCACCCCCCACCCCUCACCUGCAGGCCUGAACACCCAGCAGGCACCUCACCCACUGAGGGGCUUCCGGGGUCCUGGCUGCCCACUGGGCUUCCAGCAACAGGUGCAGGUCCCUCCGGCCCCAACCACAGCCCCGUCCCAUGCCCCGGGUGUGUGCCGCCCCUGCGGCGCCCCAUUCCAGCCCUGCCUGACCCAGGUCAAGACUGUCUCUCAGGCCCCUUCCCACCCUCAGCUGCUCUGACCCGGCCAUGAGCCUGAGUAGGAAGGGUGGGCAGGGGGCUGUCCCGGGAUCGAGGAAGUUGGCCCUGCCAUCACCCCCACUGUUUCACCCACAGCUGCCCCUGCACAGGGCUGGUCUUUGUCAGGGGCGCAGCCUUGCUGGGCCACAGCAGAACAGGGGACCCUGCUGCCUGCCGCAGCCCUCCUCCCUCCACCUCCGAAUUUCACAGUCCCUGCUUCCCGCGCCGGCUCGGAGCUCCCUAGAGACUCCUGCCAGAUGUUCCUGGCAGCCUCACAUCGCUUCCCUAAUGAAAUAUUCAUGGGCCUUUCUGCCUCUUGACAUAAAGCCUUCUGCAGCUCCACGCACCAUGGAGAGGGAGCUGGCCUCCCAACAAACCCUAGGAAGGAGUGGGCGCCCGGCCAGCCCCUCCCCCUGUGCCAACCCCGGCCGCCCACUGUGCCUCCCGAGACAGUGGCUGGGCCUCCGCCUCCCCUUUGCUCUGCUAAGGGUCAGGGGUCCAGCUGCUGCGCCCUCCCCCAGCCCAGAGGCCUCCCUGCCGCCUCCGCCUCCCGAGAGCCCAGUGCCAGCUGUGCGGGCACAUCAGCCCUGGGGCUGGGCUCUGGAGGGAGGGCAGCCGCCACCCCGCAUAGGAGGGAGCCAGUACCUGUGUGUCCAGGACCACCCUCACAGGCCCAGGGAGGAGGGGUUCUCCCUACCUCUUACUUCAGUACCUUGGUGGCCAAGAGCUCCUUACCCCAUGCCAACAAGACCAGGCUCCUGGAGUCCACCUCGCCCCUAGCUGCAUGGUGGCCAGCCUGGUCUUGCAGUCACCCGAUGUCAUCCGUCCACACCUCUGUCCCUGUGCUCACGCACACGGUGUGGGCACCACGCCGGGUUCUGUGCGUGGAGAUCAGACUUCAUGACGUUGAGCAAAACCUGCCCAGCCUUGCGCUCCAGGUAUUCACGCCAGCCCCCACCAGGUCAUGUGGGCGGAGGACCUCGGGGCAGGGGUGGUGAGGGCAAGAAGGACAAGACGGAUGGAAAGUUCCAGGGCCUGGGAACUGUGUGAGGAGUAGAAAGCGGCCAGUCAGUGAGUCCUACACAGAGGGGACCUUUGUGCCCCAGGUCAAAGGAGAAGGGAGCGGGCCCCAGCCGAGUCCACACCAGCCUCUGCUCGGUCCACAGGCCCUGUCUGGCUCUGCUAGGUCUCCUCAGUCAGGAGGUCCAUGAGACCCCGGCCCCGGGUUCUGGUCUGUAGGUGGUGGCCACAGCGAGGCCCCUCUGAGCGGGAGUCUGCCCCACAUGGGGUGCCCUCUCCACGCGCCUGCGUGGCUCACCCUGGGCUCUGCUCUGCUGUGCAGGCAGGGGCCCAAAAGGCUUACCCGGGGGAUCUAGGGCUGCCCCAGUCUCUGUGAUUCCCGCGCCCCCUUGCUCCUGGCCUCUGGGUCAAGCCUUUGUCUUUAGCGGUCAUCUCGACCUUAACUGUCACCUACAGUGGCAGGGAAACAGUUACCCUACCAUUCACAGAGACAGUCUCAGCCUCCACAUUUCGGGAGACAGAAGUUCAGAGAGGCCAUGUUGCUUCCCUGAGGCCGCAGAGCCAGAAAAGAAGCUGCCUGGGCGCAUCUAUCCAGGAGCCCCGGCAUCGUCACCAGGGCCACACAAGCAGCGAGGACCCUCCCGGGAACCAGCUCCCUGACUGGGACGCCCCAGCCCUCCUGAGCUCACUGCCCAGGGAUCCGGCCAGUGCCCCUCCCCCAUGCGGGCAGUGGGCUGGGACGCGCGGGGGGAGGGGGCUUGGGCCGCGUCGUCCCUCCGCCUCCCCAGGUCCCAGCCGUCUUGCUCCCUGAGCUGCUGGCGGGGUAAUAAGCUCUGCGUGUGGUGUGGAAAUAAAGCACGUUCCACGGAACAAAUGGUGUUAAUGUGCAGAAGCACUGCAGCCCGGAGUUACCCAGCGCCUGGAGGGCGGCGCGGCAGCUGCACCAGAAUGAGCGGCUGCGCGGAGAAUCAGCGAGGCCAUACGUCCCCGUCCCCGUGGAGGGACAAAGCAUCCCAGCCCUGGCCCCCAGCAGCGCCGGCCCUCCAGGCGGGAGGCGGUUCCAGGAAGUGAAGUGAGCAGGUGCUGGGACUCCCCUCCCCUCCUGGAGGCGCCUGCCCAGAGUAGUCAGUGACCACCCCUAGGUCCCACCUGACGGCCCUGCCUGGCCAGGUGUGGUGGCCACUGGGACAGCCUCCCUCAGACCCGAGGCCACUGCCUGUGGGGUCCAGCGGCCUUGUCCUGUCUCAGCUGCCAUCACCCCACCAGGCCCCCAAAAUGUGCUCUGGGGCCCAUCCCGCCACAAAGCCUGGGGUCUCACUGCUCCUCUCCUAGAACGGCCACUUUUCUUCUUUACGCAGGGGUCACGCUCCAGGCCUUUCUCCAAGCCCUCCCCGCGCUGGGACGCAUUUACCCGCCUGCCUGUUGACUUCGGCUGGCACCCACUCCUGGGCUGCUCAGAGCUGCUGCUCCCUGUUGAUGAGCACUGUAGGUGGCUUCGAGAUGCACGCCUCGGGACGAUCUGCCUUCCUCCCCCGCCUGCCAUUCCCGCACUGACAAACGUCUGCCCUGGGUGUUAGGAGCGAGGUGCACAUUGCACCUUACAUCCUCAUGGGCGGCUCCAGGAGCCUCACUGCAGCUGAUGAGUACUUAACACCAUCAUCCAUCUGUGUGGCCGUUGGGGCUGGCACAGAAGCUCUGGAUGCCUCUACCUGGAAACCAGGGCUGUUCUCCCUGGAUGGCAGGAAGGAAGCAGGUGGGAGGCGGGCGGAGGUGCUUGUUCCACCGGCACUCCUGGGUUCUGAGGACAUGGCACUUCCCCGCCUGUGUCUUGCUUUGGCCAUAGGUUCUGAGCUUCUGCUUCUCCUCUGUGGGUACGAGGGCCGCUCUGGCAUUAUGUCUUCUAGACCUGCGCCUCCUUCAGACGUCAGGGCCGUGCACUCAGACACCUCCAGUGAAAGCUUUUGGGGUUUGGAUGGAUGGACAGAUGGACAAAUUAACAGCAUUCUGCACUUGGAAUGACAAAACUUUAGGCAAGAAAAGGGUCAUUGGAGAAUAUCUAGUCCAACACUCUAAUGGGAUAGAGAGGGAAACUGAGGCCAGCAGAAAGCAUGUCACCUGACCCAGUCACAGCCCUUGGAUACAGAGGGAAACUGAGGCCAGCAGAAAGGAUGUCACUGGACCCAGUCAGCCCUUGGAUAGAGAGGGAAACUGAGGCCAGCAGAAAGUGUGUCACCAGACCCAGUCAGCCCUUGGAUAGAGAGGGAAACUAACGCCAGCACAAAGGAUGUCACCGGACCCAGUCAGCCCUUGGCCUAGGACCUGCAGACAGGCCACCUGCUGCUUCUGUGACCCCCACAGCCCAGACUCACACAUCUUCCUCCAGGUCAGGGAGUGAAGGGGUCUGCAGUCCUCUCCAACUGAGGGCAGGGACAGUCUCUACGUCCUGAGACCCCAGGCCCCUGACCUACCUGCCGGCCUGCCUGGCAAGGGCACACCUAUCAGGUUGCACCAUAAGGCCACCGGGCUGGGUCUGACUCACCCACAAUCCAUCAGCCUGCUGGUCUUUACACAUUCUGGGAGAGGCAAGAAUCUCUGUAGUUGCUAAAACACUUCCUCUUGGUUAUUCUGAGAACUAAAAACACACAUUAUUUGAAAGUCUUGGGUUUAGUCUAAUCUAAACCCCUCAGGUCGUGACUUAAGCUCUGGCCUCAGAGGUCUCCAUUUAUGCUUGGAUGAGCCACUCCUUUGGUCUUUGUCCCCUCACUGGAAGGCAUGUCCAUGAGGAAAUGGGGAGAAGAAUAUAGAGCUAUGAACUUGGAAUUUUGGUGUCAGAAGGACCUAGGUUCAAGUUCAGGCUCUAUCACUAGCUAGGGACCUCACUUUCUUCAUCUGUAGACUGACGAUAAUAAUAGUACAUACCUCAAAAGAGCUGUGCAGAUUCAAAGUGAUCCUGUGUCUAAACCUUUCUGUAUGAUGUCUGGUACCAAGUGAAUGCCCAGAAAACGGGUAAGGAUUGUUGUGAUGAUGAUGAUGGUGAGGAUGGGGAUAAUGAUGAUGGUGAUGAUAGGGAUGGUGAUGACUGUGGGGAUGGUGGUGAUGGUGAUAGUGAUGAUGAUGGUGAUGAUGAUGGUGGAGAUGAUGGUGUGAUGAUGAUGAUGGUGAUGGUGGGGAUGAUGAUGAUGGUGAUGAUAAUGCUGCUGCUUGCAGCGUGAGUGGACUUGGAUCAGUGUGUGGAUCCUCCCAGGACUUCCUCGGAAGUGCUGGGCACACAUUUCCAAAAGGAGCCUCCUUCUCAUGUGCAGCUACAAAUAGCAUGUCUAGCAGAUUGGGGGCUGCCUAACCAAUCCUUUCAUCAGCGUCCCCAUGGACAGGUCUUUAAGAAAGCUAAGGUCAGGACCAGGUGCCAUGGGUGCUCCAGAGAUCCAGCACAAAGCUGUGUCCUGCAGGUGUUUAGAGACAAGUGGGAAAGACAUGCUGGACUUUGGGAAUGUUAAGCGUCCAUGCUCCACAAGAAUAAAAGAGGCCUCAUGAAGCUUCACAAGAGCAGUGGCCCAGGGAGCGAGGGGAGAGACAGAAGGCUGGGCAGAGGCAGUCGGUCUGGACAGGGCCCUGAGACUGGUUACCUGAGACAGAGGUGAGGAAGAGGACGUGCCAGGAGAGGGCCCCAUGGUGUGCAAACUGAGGGCUCCUGUGUCGUGUGGUAGGAGGUGGCUGGAAGAAUGGGGUAGGACAGGCCCCCACAGGCAGGAAGGUUGGGUUUCUCCAGUAAAUGCAGAGCGAGGCCCUGUGAGAAAGGGUUCCAGUCUGGCCCGUCUUAGCUUUCAGAGUCACGGCUCCCGAGCCUGCCUGCUCCUUACUGGCCCCGCCCAUCUCUGAUGCCAGGCAGCCUCUGGCCUCUGUUUCCCUCUUAGUCAAACUCCGACUUUGCAGAGAAACUCCGUUCUGAAGCAAAAUUUUACUUACAAUGGCAAUUUAUAGCACAUCUGCUUGGGAGGGGCCGUGGCUGUCGGGGCUGGUGGUGAGGGUGGCUGCAGCGAGGGUCCCAAGUGCCCUGCCGCCCCCACCCGCCCUGCAUGGAGGCCCCUUGGCAGAGCUCCAGGCUCUGCUUCACACGGCUGGCCUGAGGC
RNAcentral lists this long non-coding RNA (7903 nucleotides) under Homo sapiens (human). RNAcentral describes it as "non-protein coding lnc-CBFA2T3-1:2". The record is from RNAcentral. Lineage: Eukaryota; Metazoa; Chordata; Mammalia; Primates; Hominidae.